AGUUGUUGCAGUUAAAAAGCUCGUAGUUGGAUUUCAGGGUGAUCUCAACUGGUCGGCCUCAUGGUCAGAACUGGUUGACUCUCUCUUGUGUGUGGAUUCCGCCCGGAGUUAACUCUUCGGAUGUGAAGUCCACAUCGUUUACCUUGAAAAAAUUAGAGUGUUCAAAGCAGGCGUUUGCUUGAAUAUAUUAGCAUGGAAUAAUGGAAUAGGACGCUGGUUCUAUUUUGUUGGUUUUGAGAACCAGAGUAAUGAUUAAUAGGGACAGUUGGGGGCAUUCAUAUUUCAUUGUCAGAGGUGAAAUUCUUGGAUUUAUGAAAGAUGAACUUCUGCGAAAGCAUUUGCCAAGGAUGUUUUCAUUAAUCAAGAACGAAAGUUAGGGGAUCGAAGACGAUCAGAUACCGUCGUAGUCUUAACCAUAAACUAUGCCGACUAGGGAUUGGGCGUGGUUUGUUCAUUGACCCGCUCAGCACCUUACGAGAAAUCAAAGUCUUUGGGUUCCGGGGGGAGUAUGGUCGCAAGGCUGAAACUUAAAGGAAUUGACGGAGGGGCACCACCACGAGUGGAGCCUGCGGCUUAAUUUGACUCAACACGGGAAAACUUACCAGGUCCAGACAUAGUAAGGAUUGACAGAUUGAGAGCUCUUCCUUGAUUCUAUGGGUGGUGGUGCAUGGCCG
This 674-nucleotide ribosomal RNA is filed under the name uncultured eukaryote. RNAcentral's name for it is "SSU rRNA". It matches the Rfam family "Eukaryotic small subunit ribosomal RNA", at positions 608 to 1290 of the family's 1831-position model. The record is from RNAcentral.